GAAGUGUGAGAAUUCGCGAAUCCACACGUACCCCGACAA
RNAcentral lists this small RNA (39 nucleotides) under Bombyx mori (domestic silkworm). Its description in RNAcentral is "ovarian small RNA-15277". Lineage: Eukaryota; Metazoa; Arthropoda; Insecta; Lepidoptera; Bombycidae. The record is from RNAcentral.